Long non-coding RNA from Coregonus clupeaformis (lake whitefish), 1215 nucleotides. RefSeq lists it as uncharacterized. Lineage: Eukaryota; Metazoa; Chordata; Actinopteri; Salmoniformes; Salmonidae. The transcript has 9 exons. The record is from RefSeq and is a predicted model, not a curated record.
GGAGGAGGCGAGAGAAAAAGAAAGGAUCUCACAUCAUAUAUCAGAGGUGACGGGAGGUGACAGUAGAGGUGACGGGAGGUGACAGUAGAGAUGACGGGAGGUGACAGUAGAGGUGACGGGAGGUGACGGUUGUGACAGUAGCGGUGACGCGAGGUGACAGGAGGUGACAGUAGACGUGACGGGAGAGGUGAUGGGAGGUGACGGGAAGUGACAGUAGAGAUGACGGGAGGUGACAGUAGAGGUGAUGGGAGGUGACGGUAGAGGUGAUGGGAGGUAACAGUAGAGGUGAUGGGAGGUAACAGUAGAGGUGAUGGGAGGUAACAGUAGAGGUGAUGGGAGGUAACAGUAGAGGUGAUGGGGGAUGACAGUAGAGGUAACAGUAGAGGUGAUGGGAGGUAACAGUAGAGGUGAUGGGAGGUAACAGUAGAGGUAACAGUAGAGGUGAUGGGAGGUAACAGUAGAGGUGAUGGGAGGUAACAGUAGAGGUGAUGGGAGGUAACAGUAGAGGUGAUGGGAGGUAACAGUAGAGGUGAUGGGGGAUGACAGUAGAGAUAACAGUAGAGGUGAUGGGAGGUAACAGUAGAGGUGAUGGGAGGUAACAGUAGAGGUGAUGGGAGAUAACAGUAGAGGUGAUGGGAGAUAACAGUAGAGGUGAUGGGGGAUGACAGUAGAGAUAACAGUAGAGGUGAUGGGAGAUAACAGUAGAGGUGAUGGGAGAUAACAGUAGAGGUGAUGGGAGGUAACAGUAGAGGUGAUGGGAGGUAACAGUAGAGGUGAUGGGAGGUAACAGUAGAGGUGAUGGGAGGUAACAGUAGAGGUGAUGGGAGGUAACAGUAGAGGUGAUGGGAGGUAACAGUAGAGGUGAUGGGAGGUAACAGUAGAGGUGAUGGGAGGUAACAGUAGAGGUGAUGGGGGAUGACAGUAGAGAUAACAGUAGAGGUGAUGGGAGGUAACAGUAGAGGUGAUGGGAGGUAACAGUAGAGGUGAUGGGAGGUAACAGUAGAGGUGAUGGGGGAUGACAGUAGAGAUAACAGUAGAGGUGAUGGGAGGUAACAGUAGAGGUGAUGGGAGGUAACAGUAGAGGUGAUGGGGGAUGACAGUAGAGAUAACAGUAGAGGUGAUGGGAGAUAACAGUAGAGGUGAUGGGAGGUAACAGUAGAGGUGAUGGGAGGUAACAGUAGAGGUGAUGGGAGGUAACAGUAGAGGUGAUGGGAG